Molecule: long non-coding RNA, 1462 nt
Filed under: Equus caballus (horse)
Lineage: Eukaryota; Metazoa; Chordata; Mammalia; Perissodactyla; Equidae
Description: lncRNA (ENSECAG00000043909.1)
Source: RNAcentral
GGGCGGGCACCACAGUGCCUGGUGCAGCCUCUCCUCUGUGCCAGGCAUUCUUCCGGGGGUGUGUGCAAGUGGACACAUAUUCCCGGCCCAAACAGGAUCCCGGGGCCUGGAUCGUUUGCCCAAAACAGUGGUUGCCACAGGAACGAGAAAGCUGGGGGGCCCGGUCUGGCCUUGGGCAGGUGUCUGGACCUUUCUGCCAAUCCCUCCUCAUUCAGGGAGGAAGCUGGAGGUCUGUGGAGGAUUUUGGGGUACAAUUUGAAAUGCAAUGAAGGCAGGGCUGCAGCUGGGAAGCUGCUCAGCCUGCAGGCAGCCCCCAGCCUGUCUGUCCCAGCCUCGCCAGGCCUGUCUCACGGCAGGGCUGCAGCCAAACCUUUAUUGGUUAAAUAGCACAUGUGGCCAAGUUUACUGGAGAAAAACAACAGCCAGGAAUGAAGACGGCUUUUCGGGCUGUUUUCCACUUUUCCUCCAAGCAGCUGAAGGUGCUCCUAGGGGCUGGAGCAUCGCGGACGCUGCGACCAGGCCCUGACCGGAGGGAGAAGCUACGACACGAAGGAGCUCGGACGUCUGGAGACGAGGGAGCCACACCAGUCCCAGUGCCUCUCCUGCAGCCACCUUGCCACUCUCCCCCUUGUCCCCGUCCUUAUAGCCUGCAGAGGGGGGCCGGGGAGGGGACGCCGCCAUGCUCAGGACCGAGGGGCCGGGACUGGAGAGCAGGAGUCAAACAGCAGGGACAACAGAUGCGCACGCAUGGGAGCCGCCGGGCCCUUUGCCCUGAGAGCUGUCACCACCCCACCUUCACAGAUGAGGAGACCGAGGCUCAGAGAAGCAAGUCACCUACCCCGGCUCAGAGCGCACAGCUGGAGCGAGCGUCAUGAAGCAGUGUUCUCCACGGUCCCCACCCAGCCCCACGUGGGCCUGUGUGAGGAAUGUCGUCCUCAGGCCCCAGACCUCCCGGAUCCGACCUGCAGGGAUCCCGAGGCCUCGCCCGCACAAGGCGCCUGAGCCCCGCCUUCUUGGCCACGGCCAGGCCUCAGUUCCUCCCUCUGCCUGAUCAGGUCCUUUCAAGCUUGAAAUGAGAACCCCAGACCCCCCAUGAGCUAAAAGCUUUGGUUUGUUGAUGGUUCAGAGGAUCUAAACUCAGCUUUGCUGGAAGGAAAGAGAAGCACCAGCAACAAGAAGCUAGUUCUCACUGCUCAAGAGAAUUCUGAGCAUUCUGCUGUUUAAUUCCACCUACCGGCCUCCACUGGAGGGGCCAGCCUUCCUCUUAGGGUGAAUCUCACCAAGUCUGAUCGCCUGGUCACCCCAGCUGUGGUGGACCUCGCAAAUGCGCCCUGGAGGAGCUUCAAACCUCAGGGUCUGCGUUUCAUUCGUUCCCCUCCAGCUCAUCCUGUCAUUGACUCUAAACGGCCGGUGGGGCCUUUGGUGCAGCACUGCCCGGGCUGCAGACACUGUCGCUGGCGGC